GACGAACGCUGGCGGCGUGCCUAACACAUGCAAGUCAACUUGACUGAAGGAGCAAUCUGACAGUAGAGUGGCGCAAGGGUGCGUAACGCGUAAGUAACUUGCCCAAGGUAAGGAAUAACGUCGAGAAAUCGGCGCUAAUACCUCAUAAUGCAGCGGAUCCGCAUGGAUAUGUUGUUAAAGGUUUACCGCCUUGGGAUAGGCUUGCGUCUGAUUAGCUAGUUGGUGUGGUAACGGCACACCAAGGCUACGAUCAGUAACUGGUCUGAGAGGAUGAUCAGUCACACUGGAACUGAGACACGGUCCAGACUCCUACGGGAGGCAGCAGUGAGGAAUAUUGGGCAAUGCUCGAAAGAGUGACCCAGCAACGCCGCGCGGAGGAUGAAGGUAUUCUAUAUCGUAAACUCCUGUGAGAGCAGACGAAAGACAGAUUAUUAAUCUGGAUGACUGUAUGCUCAGAGGAAG
RNAcentral lists this ribosomal RNA (462 nucleotides) under uncultured bacterium. RNAcentral describes it as "bacterial SSU rRNA". It matches the Rfam family "Bacterial small subunit ribosomal RNA", at positions 28 to 490 of the family's 1533-position model. The record is from RNAcentral.